GCGUAUAUUAAAGUUGUUGCAGUUAAAACGCUCGUAGUCGGGUUUCGGGUCGGGCCGAGCGGUCUGCCGAUGGGUAUGCACUGUUUGGCGCGGCCUUCUUUCCGGAGACCGCGGCUACUCUUAACUGAGCGGGCGUGGGAGACGGAUCGUUUACUUUGAAAAAAUCAGAUUGUUUCAAGCAGGCAGCUCGCUCUUGCAUGGUACAGCAUGGGAUGAUUGAAUAGGACUCCGGUGCUAUUUUGUUGGUUUCGAACACCAGGAGUAAUGAUUAACAGGGACAGUCAGGGGCACUCGUAUUCCGUCGAGAGAGGUGAAAUUCUCAGACCAAUGGAAGACGAACCACUGCGAAAGCAUUUGCCAGGGAUGUUUUCACUGA
This 376-nucleotide ribosomal RNA is filed under the name uncultured Phaeocystis. Its description in RNAcentral is "SSU rRNA". It matches the Rfam family "Eukaryotic small subunit ribosomal RNA", at positions 597 to 976 of the family's 1831-position model. Lineage: Eukaryota; Haptophyta; Phaeocystales; Phaeocystaceae. The record is from RNAcentral.